CAGACAUACCAGGGUCUAUGAGAGAUUUCUGCUUGAUCUUUGAAGGGCAGGAGAAUAUUAAGUAAGAAUAGAAACUGGAUUUCAUGAGGAUCAGUCCCACAUUUCUAACAAGGAGAUGGAAAAAUCUCUUUUAACAUUCUUCUGUGGAAGAAUAAACACUUUCCAGAACUGCAAGUUGUGCUGAGACAAAGUUAUUGGAAGUUGCGUGGGAUAGUUCAAUCCAAGCAUACUGGAAGUGUCUGAUUUGAACCACUUGCCAGAGUGCAGCUGUGCUGUUUGGGGACAGGACCAGCCAUUGUGUGUGUGAUGAGGCAGCAGUUACCACAUUUCUGCUGUGAUGGAGGACGUGGCCAGUGACUUUUAUUGGCAGGAUGGGGAAGACCUUAUCAAUGUACAUUUAGAAGUAGUAACAGUGAACGUGCAGGAUAUAACUCACAUCAGUCAGUAGGUGGGCUGCCUUAAAGAGGAGUCUUGUUACAUCUGCUCUGCUUAUAAGCCAUGCAACAUAGGAAGGUAAUUGUGGAUGGUUACCUGAAAAUGUUUCUUGUUCCCAUUUAAGAGAAGAGUGAGAUUCUGUAUGUCAAGCAGGACUGAUCUCCCUCCUGUCCUCCAAAUCAUUAAGAAAAUAUUUCCUCCUCAAAGUCAGAACUCACCCAACACCACAGGGAUAUGUUACAGGACAUUUGCUUCAGGGGCUGCUGUUUUUCUGAUAAGAUGGACAGAAUCUUGUUUUGUGUUAGUGGAUACACAGAAAAUCCCCCAUGCUUUACACAUAAAAAGUGCUAUUUCCUGUGUUCUGGCUCAAUUUUGUUUCAGUUAUUUCAUGUCAUUUCAAUUAAUGCUUGCAGGCAUAUGGUGACACAGAUUGAAGGAUGUUGAAAAGACUGGAAACAUUCUAGAAAGCAGGGAAAUAAUCAGGGACAAUGGUAGAUACCAUAUUUACUAGAGGAUACACCUUUGUCCAAGUACAGAGUCAGGAGACUUUGAGCCAAAUUGAAGAUGACAAAUUCAAAAGCCAAUGAGGAAAAUGCUCUUAAUACAGCAUAUAAAUAACUCCUGCUUCUUGGAAGAAGUGCUGAAUUAGAUGACAUAAGGACUUCCCAUUACAUAAAAGAGGAAGCAAAAAUAUACCUCUCUAAAAUCUCCCUCUUCAAUUUGACUCAGAGUAUUAAAGCACAGACUUCUAACUCAUGAAAGCCUUGAUUUAGGAGACUGCUUCAGCAUGCACCAGUAUUUUAGGCUCUAAGUAAUUCCAUUGACUCCAUUAGCAAUCCGUGCUCACUUGAAGUAAAGCACAUGUGAAGGGGUUUUAUUAGCUGUUGGCCUAAGAAAACUGUUAAUUACAUGGCAUAAGGAAGAGUUUUUUCCCUGAGAGCUCUUUUGGAAUUUGUUCUGGUGUAUUGCUUUUACUUGUUGUGCCCAAUUGGACUGAAGGAAGACCUAAAUGCAUUUGUGGAGCCUGUUAGCCCUACUAGAUUACAUCUAAGAUAAAUGUCAAACUGAAAACAUUGUCAAU
Oxyura jamaicensis (ruddy duck) is the source of this 1516-nucleotide long non-coding RNA. RefSeq lists it as uncharacterized. The transcript has 3 exons. Lineage: Eukaryota; Metazoa; Chordata; Aves; Anseriformes; Anatidae. The record is from RefSeq and is a predicted model, not a curated record.